This 375-nucleotide ribosomal RNA is filed under the name uncultured bacterium. RNAcentral's name for it is "bacterial SSU rRNA". It matches the Rfam family "Bacterial small subunit ribosomal RNA", at positions 521 to 896 of the family's 1533-position model. The record is from RNAcentral.
UAAUACGAAGGGGGCUAGCGUUGCUCGGAAUUACUGGGCGUAAAGGGCGCGUAGGCGGAUAUUUAAGUCGGGGGUGAAAGCCCGGGGCUCAACCUCGGAAUUGCCUUCGAUACUGGAUAUCUUGAGUUCGGGAGAGGUGAGUGGAAUGCCGAGUGUAGAGGUGAAAUUCGUAGAUAUUCGGCGGAACACCAGUGGCGAAGGCGACUCACUGGCCCGAUACUGACGCUGAGGCGCGAAAGCGUGGGGAGCAAACAGGAUUAGAUACCCUGGUAGUCCACGCUGUAAACGAUGAGUGCUAGUUGUCGGCAUGCAUGCAUGUCGGUGACGCAGCUAACGCAUUAAGCACUCCGCCUGGGGAGUACGGUCGCAAGAUUA